Nomascus leucogenys (northern white-cheeked gibbon) is the source of this 1024-nucleotide long non-coding RNA. RefSeq lists it as uncharacterized. Lineage: Eukaryota; Metazoa; Chordata; Mammalia; Primates; Hylobatidae. The transcript has 4 exons. The record is from RefSeq and is a predicted model, not a curated record.
AGUGUUAUCAUUCUGGGGUUAAUGGUUUGGCAAAAAUUAAGAAUAUCAUUGUAUUCUUUGUUGAAGAGAGUAUAGAGAAAAAGACUAUCAUUCAGUCCAGGGUAGAGUUUAAAUUGACAGAAAUUUUGAAAAGCAAUGUGGCAAUAUUUAUUAAAAUUUUAAGUGUGUCAUUGAUUCAGUUCUAGGAAUUUGUACAAACAAAACACUUUCAGAAAUGUGCAAAGGUGAGUGUUCAUGUAUAUUUAGUGAAGGACAUUGGAAAUAGCACAAAUGUUCAUUAAUAGGAUUCAUUAAAUAAAUUAGCAUAUGUCCAACUACCUCUACAUAAUAGUUUUAACAUAUUUCUUAUUAAUUUUUAAAAAGUACAACAUAUGCAGUUACGUUUUCUGUUUAAGGAACAAAAGGACAGUGGUAAACAACAGAGGGUCAAUGGCGGGAGCAGUCCCUGCCUUGGAUUCAGGCAAUAUGGGCAAGAAAAGUGAUACAGAAUUUCAACGCAUAAUUAAACCAACUAAAGGAUAUGGCCAACAGUAACCCAUGGUCCCAUUCUGGACAGCUGCUUCUUUUUCCUGGUAAGAAAAAUCCAUAUCAUGACACAGAAGAGAUGGAGGAAGAAGAGAAAACAAAAGCUUCUUGUGGCUCCAGGCGUUCUUUGAUUCUCCUUGGCUUGUGGCUGCAUCACUGAUUUCUGCUUCCGUGAUCAUGUGGCUCUUCUUCCGCAUGUCUUCUCCCUUCUCUUACAAGGACACUUCGUUGCAUUCAGGGCCCACUCAGGUAAUUCAGGAUGAUCUCAUGCCAAGACCCCUAAUUUAAUUACAUCUACAAAGAUCCCUUAGCCAAGUAAGGUCAUAUUCAUGGGUUCUGGGAAUUAGGAUUUAGGCAUAUCUUUUGGAGAGCCAUCAUGCAAUGCACGACAUUCUAAACAGACUCCAGUUUUCUCAGCUUUAACGGAGACAAUCAAUCAAAUGAUUUUUCUUUUUUAAUUUAAAAAUAAAAACAGUAUUUCUGUCUCAGAAUAAUUCUG